RNAcentral lists this ribosomal RNA (468 nucleotides) under uncultured bacterium. RNAcentral describes it as "partial 16S ribosomal RNA". It matches the Rfam family "Bacterial small subunit ribosomal RNA", at positions 28 to 507 of the family's 1533-position model. The record is from RNAcentral.
GACGAACGCUGGCGGCGUGCUUAACACAUGCAAGUCGAACGGUAAGGCCCUUUCGGGGGUCCACGAGUGGCGAACGGGUGAGUAACACGUGAGUAACCUGCCCUCAUCUCUGGGAUAACAGUCGGAAACGGUUGCUAAUACUGGAUAUGAGCUUGCAAGGCAUCUUGUGGGUUGGAAAGAUUUUUUUUGGUUGGGGAUGGACUCGCGGCCUAUCAGCUUGUUGGUGAGGUAGUGGCUCACCAAGGCUUCGACGGGUAGCCGGCCUGAGAGGGCGACCGGCCACAUUGGGACUGAGAUACGGCCCAAACUCCUACGGGAGGCAGCAGUGGGGAAUAUUGCACAAUGGACGGAAGUCUGAUGCAGCAACGCCGCGUGCAGGAUGACGGCCUUCGGGUUGUAAACCGCUUUCAAUUGUGACGAAGCUUUUUUGUGACGGUAGCAGUAGAAGAAGCACCAGCUAACUACGUG